AGUGAACGCUGGCGGUAGGCCUAACACAUGCAAGUCGAACGGCAGCACAGUAAGAGCUUGCUCUUACGGGUGGCGAGUGGCGGACGGGUGAGGAAUACAUCGGAAUCUACUUUUUCGUGGGGGAUAACGUAGGGAAACUUACGCUAAUACCUCAUACUACCUACGGGUGAAAGCAGGGGAUCUUCGGACCUUGCGCGAUUGAAUGAGCCGAUGUCGGAUUAGCUAGUUGGCGGGGUAAAGGCCCACCAAGGCGACGAUCCGUAGCUGGUCUGAGAGGAUGAUCAGCCACACUGGAACUGAGACACGGUCCAGACUCCUACGGGAGGCAGCAGUGGGGAAUAUUGGACAAUGGGCGCAAGCCUGAUCCAGCCAUACCGCGUGGGUGAAGAAGGCCUUCGGGUUGUAAAGCCCUUUUGUUGGGAAAGAAAAGCAGCAGGUGAAUACCCCGAUGUUCUGACGGUACCCAAAGAAUAAGCACCGGCUAACUUCGUG
RNAcentral lists this ribosomal RNA (492 nucleotides) under uncultured bacterium. RNAcentral's name for it is "partial 16S ribosomal RNA". It matches the Rfam family "Bacterial small subunit ribosomal RNA", at positions 29 to 507 of the family's 1533-position model. The record is from RNAcentral.